GAUGAACGCUGACAGAAUGCUUAACACAUGCAAGUCUACUUGAAUUUGGGUUUUUUAACUUCGAUUUGGGUGGCGGACGGGUGAGUAACGCGUAAAGAACUUGCCUCACAGCUAGGGACAACAUUUGGAAACGAAUGCUAAUACCUGAUAUUAUGAUUAUAGGGCAUCCUAGAAUUAUGAAAGCUAUAUGCGCUGUGAGAGAGCUUUGCGUCCCAUUAGCUAGUUGGAGAGGUAACGGCUCACCAAGGCGAUGAUGGGUAGCCGGCCUGAGAGGGUGAACGGCCACAAGGGGACUGAGACACGGCCCUUACUCCUACGGGAGGCAGCAGUGGGGAAUAUUGGACAAUGGACCGAGAGUCUGAUCCAGCAAUUCUGUGUGCACGAUGACGUUUUUCGGAAUGUAAAGUGCUUUCAGUUGGGAAGAAAAAAAUGACGGUACCAACAGAAGAAGUGACGGCUAAAUACGUGCCAGCAGCCGCGGUAAUACGUAUGUCACGAGCGUUAUCCGGAUUUAUUGGGCGUAAAGCGCGUCUAGGUGGUUAUGUAAGUCUGAUGUGAAAAUGCAGGGCUCAACUCUGUAUUGCGUUGGAAACUGUGUAACUAGAGUACUGGAGAGGUAAGCGGAACUACAAGUGUAGAGGUGAAGUUCGUAGAUAUUUGUAGGAAUGCCGAUGGGGAAGCCAGCUUACUGGACAGAUACUGACGCUGAAGCGCGAAAGCGUGGGUAGCAAACAGG
This 736-nucleotide ribosomal RNA is filed under the name uncultured Fusobacterium sp. RNAcentral's name for it is "bacterial SSU rRNA". It matches the Rfam family "Bacterial small subunit ribosomal RNA", at positions 28 to 776 of the family's 1533-position model. Lineage: Bacteria; Fusobacteriati; Fusobacteriota; Fusobacteriia; Fusobacteriales; Fusobacteriaceae. The record is from RNAcentral.